AGUGAACGCUGGCGGUAGGCCUAACACAUGCAAGUCGAACGGCAGCACAGGAGAGCUUGCUCUCUGGGUGGCGAGUGGCGGACGGGUGAGGAAGACAUCGGAAUCUACUUUUUCGUGGGGGAUAACGUAGGGAAACUUACGCUAAUACCGCAUACGACCUACGGGUGAAAGCAGGGGACCUUCGGGCCUUGCGCGAUUGAAUGAGCCGAUGGCGGAUUAGCUAGUUGGCGGGGUAAAGGCCCAGCAAGGCGACUAUCCGUAGCUGGUCUGAGAUGCUGAUCAGCCAGACUGGAACUGAGACACGGGCCAGACUCCUACGGGAGGCAGCAGUAGGGAAUAUUGGACAGUGGGCUCAAGCCUGAUCGAGCCAUACCGCGUGGGUGAAGAAGGCCUUCGGGUUGUAAAGGCCUUUUGUUGGGAAAGAAAUCCAGCUGGCUAAUACCCGGUUGGGAUGACGGUACCAAAAGAAUAAGCACCGGCUAACUUCGUGCCAGCAGCCGCGGUAA
RNAcentral lists this ribosomal RNA (506 nucleotides) under uncultured bacterium. RNAcentral's name for it is "partial 16S ribosomal RNA". It matches the Rfam family "Bacterial small subunit ribosomal RNA", at positions 29 to 523 of the family's 1533-position model. The record is from RNAcentral.